UGCUUGUCUCAAAGAUUAAGCCAUGCACGUGUAAGUACACGGCCUUUAUAUGGUGAAACUGCGAAUGGCUCAUUAAAUCAUAUGUGAUUUCUUAGAUCGUACCGUUCCUUCGGGAACGUGUGGAUAACUGUGGUAAUUCUAGAGCUAAUACAUGCAAUCAAGCUCCAACCUUCGGGGACGAGCGCUCUUAUUAGACCAAGGCCAACCUGUGGGGCAACUCGCAGUUAGCUGUGGUGACUCUGGAUAACACUCAGUUGAUCGCACGACCUUUGCGUCGGCGACGUAUCUUUCAAGCGUAUGCCCUAUCACUUGUCGACGUUAGGUUAUUCGCCUAUCGUGAGUACUACGGGUAGCGGGGGAUCAGGGUUCGAUCCCGGAGAGGGGGCAUGAGAAAUGGCCACCACAUCCAAGGAAGGCAGCAGGCGCGCAAAUUACCCAAUGGCGACACGCCGAGGUAGUGACGAAAAAUAACAAUACGGGACUCUUUCGAGGCCCCGUAAUUGGAAUGAGCACAAUCCAAAUCCUUUAGCGAGGAUCUAUUGGAGGGCAAGUCUGGUGCCAGCAGCCGCGGUAAUUCCAGCUCCAAUAGCGUAUAUUAAAGUUGCUGCAGUUAAAAAGCUCGUAGUUGGAUCUCGGGUAUCGUCUAGGUGGUCCUGUUCACGCAGGUACUGCCCUGAUGACCUAAACAGUGGCUGUCUCCUCACGGAGCUUUCGCCCCGAGUGCCCUUCAUUGGGUGCCCGUGGGUGGCCACUGCGUUUACUUUGAAAAAAUUAGAGUGUUCAAAGCAGGCUUGCAUAGCCCGAAUAUUCGUGCAUGGAAUAAUGGAAAACGACCCUGGUACAUUUCCGUUGGUCUCUGUGACUAGGGUAAUGAUUAAGAGGGACUGCCGGGGGCAUUGGUAUGGCGGCGUUAGAGGUGAAAUUCUUGGAUCGUCGCCAGACCAACAACAGCGAAAG
This 957-nucleotide ribosomal RNA is filed under the name Neovermilia sphaeropomata. RNAcentral's name for it is "SSU rRNA". It matches the Rfam family "Eukaryotic small subunit ribosomal RNA", at positions 29 to 951 of the family's 1831-position model. The record is from RNAcentral. Lineage: Eukaryota; Metazoa; Annelida; Polychaeta; Sabellida; Serpulidae.